This is a long non-coding RNA of Onychomys torridus (southern grasshopper mouse), 637 nucleotides long. RefSeq lists it as uncharacterized. The transcript is spliced from 3 exons. The record is from RefSeq and is a predicted model, not a curated record. Lineage: Eukaryota; Metazoa; Chordata; Mammalia; Rodentia; Cricetidae.
AAGCAGCGUUUUCGGGAAUGGGAUGAGAUGCAUUGCUUAGAUCAGAACACGAAGGCCGACUUCCGUGAAGCCGAGAAAUCUGUGACUUCGCCUCUGAUUCAAAUUGAUGGGACUGGUCUGGAGACUUCAGAGGUUUCGGGAAACCACCCAACACCUCCCCCAUCAAGUUCUUGGGCCACAGUGAAUUUCUUCUGUGAGUUUAAACUAUUUUUUCUUCUAAGAGCCCUCUAACAGGGCAGUACUGACAACCCCUCAAGAGAUAAGAAGAACUUACCCAGCCACACCCGAGAGUAAUCAACACGUCAUGGGAGACUCUUGGGACUAAGAUGCGGCGAAGCAAGCUGGAGACAAGAGAGGUUGUAUUCACGACUGGUGCUUUGAGAACUCUUCCUCACAUCCUAUCAGUAUCUUGCAUCCCAGAGGGACGCCUUUCCUCAUCCUCCAAAGCAGGUCCAAGUUCCCCAACGCCUUCAGAAGACAAAGAUUUAAAUCUGGACAAGUAUGACUGUCCACCAUAGCUUCAGUCAUGAAAGCCCGCUGCCCCGGAGGCCUGGCCUUCCUGGAGGUCCAGAAGUUACAGAAGCGGAGACAGUGGUGAAGACAUAGGAGGCGGCAGAGAAAACAGUGAAGAGGUGAG